This is a non-coding RNA of Dryococelus australis, 76 nucleotides long. NCBI's taxonomy places the organism in Eukaryota, Metazoa, Arthropoda, Insecta, Phasmatodea, Phasmatidae. The record is from the annotation of a GenBank genome assembly.
UUACUCAUGUGCGCAGUUGGCUGCGGCGUGACUUCUUUUGACGCUGGGGUCCUGGGUUCGAGUCCCCGUGAGUCAU